GCUGGGCAUGGUGGUGCGUGCCUGUAAUCCCAGCUACUCAGGAGGCUGAGGCAGGAGAAUCACUUGAACCUAGGAGGCAGGGAUUGCAGUGAGCCAAGAUUGCACCACUGCAUUCCAGCCUGGGUGACAGAGCGAGACUCUGUCUCAA
Molecule: unclassified non-coding RNA, 148 nt
Organism: Pongo abelii (Sumatran orangutan)
Lineage: Eukaryota; Metazoa; Chordata; Mammalia; Primates; Hominidae
Rfam family: Metazoan signal recognition particle RNA
About the family: The signal recognition particle (SRP) is a universally conserved ribonucleoprotein.
Source: Ensembl